This 801-nucleotide long non-coding RNA is filed under the name Manihot esculenta (cassava). RNAcentral's name for it is "long non-coding RNA (MESC_LNC003530)". Lineage: Eukaryota; Viridiplantae; Streptophyta; Magnoliopsida; Malpighiales; Euphorbiaceae. The record is from RNAcentral.
GAAAACUAGGAUAGUGUGAUAGGUGAUAGUGAUGUAAACGUAGAUGAUGUAUCUGGUCAUGUAAAUCCUCUGAGGAUAGCUUUUUAUUCUGUAAUGUGGGUAUUCGUAACGUGCUGUAAUGAAACUUUUGUUUUUUCGUUCAUACCCGAACUGUUCCUUCUUUAUUAUGAAUGAGGUGUUGAGACUGCUUUCUUCGUGGUUUUUUCUGAGAAAUCUGCGAUAUUGUUUUUUCCGUCUUGCCUUUUAAUUGAUCAGACCCAGAAUCGAUUUAGCUAGUCUGAGUUUUCAGUUUACUCUUUCCGAGCUGUACCAACCGACCUGCGAGCUCGCUUUCGGUUUACUUUAUCCAAGCGAGACUAACCAACCUGCGAGCUCUGUCUUUAAUCAAUGGGUCGAGCUCUGAGUUCCACUAGCCAACUGAGCUUUCGGUUUACUUUUUCCGAGCUGGGCUAACUGACUUGUGAGCCCUGCUUUUAAUCAAUGAGUUGAGCUUCUGACCCAUAACUUUGUAUGAUUCCGCGGCGUCCUUAUCGCUUCGUUCUGGGCUCGUAGCCUCUGCUUAAUGAUGAUGAGUCAAAUCCUAUACCUUUUUAAGUGAUAAGCAAGUCUGACCUUUAUCAUGCUUCCCCCUGUUUGUCUCCUUGGAUCUUUCUAUGACUUGCUCUUUUUCCUUAGUUUUUGCUGCCUGAGUGGCGAUGAUGUGCAUUUUGCAUGUCAGGUCGUCCUGAGCGAGAGAUUCAAUUGGAGCUCGGUCUCAAGGUUUUGACAAUUUGGGUUUGUUUUAUGUAGAUAGCGUGUGGG